ACACAUACCAAUAUACACACACACACAAUACAUACUUUUUUUCUGAUAAAAAGCUGAUUUUUAUUUAUUUUACUUCAAUGACAUGCAGGUUCACAAUGUUAGAACUUUAACAAUAAUAAAGAGUUGUGGUGAUUUAACACAGAGGCAGACAAAUUAAAAACAGACAUUUGAUGCCAACUCACCAUUACAAUGACAAAAUGAAAAAAUAAGUAGAUAAAGACAUUUCAUCAGAAAUAUUUAUAUAAUUGUCUGUAGGAUGCCUCUCUUUUAUCCUACUUGAUUAAAGAGGUUUGAAGUACAUCAAUAUCUGAUUUUAAGUGGUAAAAAUGUUCACGUCCUGCCUUUGGUGGUGAAAAAGGUUAAAAUAUUAUUGUCAAACAUUUGAGACAGUACUAGUUUUUUAAAAAACUGUUUUAAAAAAAAUAUGUUUGUUUGUUUUAGGAAGACAAAGAUCACAAAGGUUUUUUUUUUAAAACCUAAGGAAAUUAACACUCCUCAUUAUCAUGAUUAAAUAAACUAAAUACACAAACUGACCUUAAAGGAAAACACAAUGUUAUACAGUUUUUUCAUUUAUGUUUAUAUGUGGCGGACCCUGCCACCUUUCUAGCUUCAAACAGUGUUCUUGGGACCUUAUUUUCCUCUGAGAACUUCUUGUUUAAUCAGUUAUGGAAAACGUAAAUAUUUCUGAGUUUAUCAUUAUUACGUCAUUAAAAUUGUAAAUAAUAAAAUUCUGAGUUAGAAAAAAUUCUGUUUAAAAACCACCAUGAUAUGUGAUGGUAUGUGAUAUUCAGCCAUUUCGAGAGGGGUCUGUCUGCAGCCUGCAAGAGAGGGGCGUAACCUGUAGUGGGCGUAACGUGUAGUGUGGGCGUAACGUGUAGUUGUGUAAAUCACGUUGAACCACGCGAGAUGUAGAAUGAGACCCGCCAAAAGCAAGAACAGAACAAGGAAAUACACAAGAGAUGUCUCAAAAACGAAAAAUGGCGAUCGUAUCCAGACUGUGACAGUCUACACCCUGGUUGAAAAGUACACAUUGACAGUGCCAGAGGCUGUGGCCAGGUUCAGAAGGGGCCCACAAUAUGAACCAUGUGAAUUGGAAAUGAUGCAAGCUGACUUGAUGAAACAUUUAUCAGAGGAUGCAACAGAGAAGCUACAAGCCUAUAAAGAUAGAAUGUGAAGAGCCCUCUCCUCUGAGGCAUUUCUUAGCCAGCUAUAAGGUGUAAUAUCUUCAAAGAUUUACUUUUCUUUUUCUUUUGACUCCUCCAAGGAAAUGUGUCACAGCCCUACGGGGGCCUCUAACCAUUCUCUUCUGUUUAACUCAAAACUGUAGUAAAUGGUGCAUUUGUUGGGGACUGUUUUCUGCGGUGGAGUAAUACACAGUGUGUGUUAGACUAGAGCAGUGCACACUUACAAACUGUAGAGUAUGUAUCAAAUGUGAGUAUGUGUGCAUACAUAUGUAUAAACUUAAAUUUUAUACAGGAUAUUGUAAUAGUUUUGUAAUGUAUAUGCAAUUGGUCUGUUUCAUUUCAUAGUUCCAUCAGCAUCAUUUGGCUCCAUAAAACUUGAGACAAAAUGCUGAAAGGCAUUACAGUGUGCAUCACUGCCUGAGUUGGAUGUAAAGAAAAAAAGAGCUAAUCCUUGCAUUUGAACAGCUAUGUUAUUAACUGCUUUAUAAGUGUCCAGUACAAGCAACCGUUCAUCAGGUACAGGUACAUGACAUUUAACUGUUGAUGCACUUUGUUAAAGUCAAAUCACACAACACUUAACAAGUAUUUCCUAACAGGAGAAGCAUUUAUAUUUACACAAGUCUAGGCACUACCAUGCUCGCAAGCAGAUGUUUGUCAGCAGACCAUGUUCUCUCUGUCAUGGCAGUCAAAGAACUAAUAAAAAGCUGAUUUAUAAACAUUUAAAUCACUUGUGCAUUGUGUGUGUGUCCAAGCCUGUGUGUGCGUGCCUGCAAUCACGAGCGUGGCUUGUGUCUAGGAUGGGGGGCACAAAAAAAGUAUUUGCACCAGGGCCUAUCACCAUGAUGUUAAGCUACUGUGGCAGACAAUCUAAAUAAUGUUGCAUCAGAAAGUCGGAGUGUGGCCGAAGUGAAAGAAAGUGGUCAGACAUAAAAGUGGAAGCAAAAAAGCGCCUGUCAUCACACAGGCAGAGCGUCUGUGUCACGGGCGGGGGAACGGCCACCGGAGCUCACCCCGCUGGAUGAAAAACUGGUGGGGAUCAUUGGGGAAUCCCUCCUGAGUGACGUGGUGACGGAGGUGGAGGGGGACACCAAUGCCCCUCGUGCCCUCCAGCGGCUGUGUCCUUACAGAUGCAGUCCUGCAAAUGCAGAGAAACACCAUCACUGCAAUAAAUGAUGUUUCCAGGGAACUGCGGGAGAUAAAAAAUGUCUUUUCCGAGUUAAACACCACCAUGAAGGAAUUUAUUAAAUGAUUGUUUCGUAUUUGUUUCCAUAUCUGUAUUUUCACAAGCGACGCAUCACAUCCAAACGCUGGCGCACGGCACGUGUGAGAAUUAACCUGAUUGACUAACAGUCCUUCAGACUAAUAAUAUAAGAUAAUUAUAGUCUUUAUAUUUACAUAGCAAGAAAACACAGAUACAAAGUGCUUUAUGUGUUAUGCAUUGAAAACGGAGAUGAAACGUAA
This is a long non-coding RNA of Sparus aurata (gilthead seabream), 2645 nucleotides long. Lineage: Eukaryota; Metazoa; Chordata; Actinopteri; Spariformes; Sparidae. The record is from Ensembl.